GAUGAACGCUAGCGACAGGCUUAACACAUGCAAGUCGAGGGGCAGCACGAGGUAGCAAUACUUUGGUGGCGACCGGCGCACGGGUGAGUAACGCGUAUGCAACCUACCCCAGUACAGGGGGAUAGCCCGGAGAAAUUCGGAUUAAUACCCCAUAAUGAUAUUGAAAGGCAUCUUUUGAUAUUUAAAGUUUCGACGGUACUGGAUGGGCAUGCGUGACAUUAGCUAGUUGGUAGGGUAACGGCCUACCAAGGCUUCGAUGUCUAGGGGUCCUGAGAGGGUGAUCCCCCACACUGGUACUGAGACACGGACCAGACUCCUACGGGAGGCAGCAGUGAGGAAUAUUGGUCAAUGGGCGUAAGCCUGAACCAGCCAUCCCGCGUGAAGGAAGAAGGCGCUAUGCGUCGUAAACUUCUUUCCAGAAGAAGAAACCCCCGACGUGUCGGGGCUUGCCGGUACUCUGGGAAUAAGCAUCGGCUAACUCCGUG
This 485-nucleotide ribosomal RNA is filed under the name uncultured bacterium. RNAcentral describes it as "bacterial SSU rRNA". It matches the Rfam family "Bacterial small subunit ribosomal RNA", at positions 28 to 507 of the family's 1533-position model. The record is from RNAcentral.